UAACACGUGGGGAACCUGCCCCAUAGUCUGGGAUACCACUUGGAAACAGGUGCUAAUACCGGAUAAGAAAGCGGAUCGCAUGAUCAGCUUUUAAAAGGCGGCGUAAGCUGUCGCUAUGGGAUGGCCCCGCGGUGCAUUAGCUAGUUGGUAAGGUAAAGGCUUACCAAGGCGAUGAUGCAUAGCCGAGUUGAGAGACUGAUCGGCCACAUUGGGACUGAGACACGGCCAAACUCCUACGGGAGGCAGCAGUU
This 251-nucleotide ribosomal RNA is filed under the name uncultured Lactobacillus sp. RNAcentral's name for it is "partial 16S ribosomal RNA". It matches the Rfam family "Bacterial small subunit ribosomal RNA", at positions 111 to 355 of the family's 1533-position model. Lineage: Bacteria; Bacillati; Bacillota; Bacilli; Lactobacillales; Lactobacillaceae. The record is from RNAcentral.